Molecule: long non-coding RNA, 1637 nt
Filed under: Homo sapiens (human)
Lineage: Eukaryota; Metazoa; Chordata; Mammalia; Primates; Hominidae
Description: HSALNT0342850
Source: RNAcentral
GGCUCCUGUGCGGCCAGAGCCUCCCCGACGAGCGCCGCUUCCUGCUCCACGGCGCCCAGUCCUAUCGACCACCCAAGGGCUGAGGAGUGCGGGCACACGGCGCGGGACUGGCAGGCAGCUCCACCUACAGCCCCGGUGCCGUAUCCACUGGGAGAAGCCAGCUGGGCUCCUGAGUCUGGUGGGACCUUGGAGAACCUUUAUAUCUAGCUCAGGGAUUGUAAAUACACCAAUCGGCACUCUGUAUCUAGCUCAAGGUUUGUAAACACACCAAUCAGUACCCUGUGUCUAGCUCAGGGUUUGUGAAUGCACCAAUCGACACUCUGUAUCUAGCUACUCUGGUGGGGCCUUGGAGAACCUUUAUGUCCACACUCUGUAUCUAGCUAAUCUGGUGGGGACGUGGAGAACCUUUGUGUCUAGCUCAGGGAUUGUAAACACACCGAUCAGUGCCCUGUCAAAACAGACCACUCGGCUCUACCAAUCCGCAGGAUGUGGGUGGGGCCAGAUAAGAGAAUAAAAGCAGGCUGCCCCAACCAGCAGUGGCAACUUGCUGGGGUCCCCUUCCACGGUGUGGAAGCUUUGUUCUCUCGCUCUUUACAAUAAAUCUUGCUACUGCUCACUCUUUGGGUCCACACUGCCUUUAUGAGCUGUAACACUCACCCUGAAGGUCUGCAGCUUCACUCCUGAAGCCAGCAAGACCAUGAGCCCACCGAGAAGAACGAACAACUCCAGACGCGCCGCCUAAAGAGCUGUAACGCUCACUGCGAAGGUCUGCAGCUUCACUCCUGAGCCAGGGAGACCACGAACCCACCAGAAGGAAGAAACUCCGAACACAUCUGAACAUCAGAAGGAACAAACUCCGGACACGCAGCCUUUAAGAACUGUAACACUCACCGCGAGGGUCCGCGGCUUCAUUCUUGACGUCAGUGAGACCAAGAACCCACCAAUUCCAGGCACAAUAGUUCCAGGCUCUGUUAUUGUGGCUAAUAAUAUAAGGCCUAGGUGACAGUAUGGCACUUCUGAGUUUAAGUUAUGAAAGAUGGUGGCUUUCAUUUAGGUCUCUGGAUCUCUCUCUCUAUCACUUUAUCUGCCAAGCUGCUGUGUUUUAAGCAGCCCUCUAGAGAGACUUUUAUGGUAAGGAAGUAUAGUAUUAUACUAUCUGGCCAAUAGCCAGAGAAGAAUUGAGAUCUCCCAACAACCAUGUGACUGAACUUGGAAGCAGACCCUUCUUUCCCAGCUGAAUCUUCUUGAGAUGUCUGGAGCCCUGGCUAACAGCUUAAUAACCUCAAGAGAGAAUCUGGGCAAGAACGACUCAGUCACUUAAAAGGAUAAAUAUUAAUGGACAUAAUCAUGAAACUAUCUGUGAAAGUCAUUUGAAGAUAGUGAUAAAGGCGUAUUGACAGAAUCUACAUUUGAUACAUUGAAAAAAAUCAUUGAAAAAGAAGGCAGAAAUAAAUGAACAAUGAUUGAAUACCAGUAAACUUGGUGCUUUGCACACUGCCUUUGAUUUCAUUCUCCCAAAAUAUCUGUGAAAUAGAUAUUAUUUGUCAUUUGCAGAUGAGAAAACUAAGGCUCAGGGAACUUAUUUGUCCUAGGUCACACACAUACAAAAACCCAAGAAACAAUAAAAAGAAAGAAAG